Pocillopora damicornis (cauliflower coral) is the source of this 1178-nucleotide long non-coding RNA. The record is from RefSeq and is a predicted model, not a curated record. Lineage: Eukaryota; Metazoa; Cnidaria; Anthozoa; Scleractinia; Pocilloporidae.
UGGCGAUCGCAACCUCGAGCAUGGUUUGAUUUGGAAGAGUGGUUAACGCGUUUACUUUGCACAAAUGGCAUUUUUGCUGGCCACUGGCGACGUCUCAAUGUAGGAAAAACUCUUUGAGUUGCUUUGGUGCAUUAAACAACCACUUGACGAGACAACAUCCUGAAAUGAUGGAGAUUUGAUUCUCGUUCAAACGUCUAGUUGCGUGGACACUGAAGUACAUGGAGGACAUAUCUGAUUAAAAUUAACACGGAGUUUGCGAUCUGAAGAGGUCAAGGAGACUAGGAUACAUAAUAUUACUGGUAUCUCUGCUCAAAACAACAAAGAAGUUUGAAUUUGGAGUCUACUUCUACCUUGUGGUUCACUUAGAUAACGUAAAGUACGGACGGGUGUCCUUGUUGUAUUUGGGAAGAAUUAAUUUUAAGUCUUUGGCGGGAGACUUUUGUAUGGCUCAUUUGAAGCUCUCUCUAUCUUACUUUAGAUGUCAAGAGAAAUGACCAUAUCAGGCAAGAGACCAAAGAAAAAGGUCAAUCAUGGAAUGACCGAGAAAUUGGGGGUCGAUCCGCCACCGUCCCCCACCACACCCGCCUCUUAUAUACAGUUGUUUUGUAAUUUGAGACAAGUUCAACAUUGUGGUACGACAUAUCGUAAUAAGCAUGUGUCUUACAAUACGCAUGUGUUCUUAAUAAAGAUUUAGUUUUACCACAAGGAUGAACUCGUCUUAAAUUACAAAUCAACUGUCUAUAAGAGGUGGGUGUGGUGGGGGACGAUGGCGGAUCGACCCCCGAUUUUUCGUUCACUCCAUGGUUGACCUUUUUCUUUGGUUUCUUGCCUGAGAUGGUCAUUUCUCGUGACAAUCACUUGCACUUAAAAGUGGACAAAUAACUUUUAUAGACAGAGCCUUAGGAAAGGCAGACCUUUUCUUUUUUCUUUAUUUAACACACAAUGUGGAUCAAAGUUUUAAAAUCAAAACCCAUUCAAUCUACAUAGUGGUGCACGCGAUAGUUUGGAAUGUUAGCAAAUUACUCCUUCUUUUUCACGUUGCUACCUUCUUGGACCUUUCAUUUUCGUCUUUCUUCCUCUGUCGAUGUGAAAGAAAUUUUAAAACAGAAAUGUAAUCAAUAACUUUUUCCCGUCAUAUGUAACUGGCAAUAAGUCAAUAAAAUAUAUGCCAAGUACAA